Long non-coding RNA from Triticum aestivum (bread wheat), 912 nucleotides. RefSeq lists it as uncharacterized. The transcript is spliced from 2 exons. The record is from RefSeq and is a predicted model, not a curated record. Lineage: Eukaryota; Viridiplantae; Streptophyta; Magnoliopsida; Poales; Poaceae.
UAUCUUAGGUUAAUUCUUAUGCAAGUUAUCUUAGGUUAAUUCUUAUGCAAGUUAUCUAGGUUAUAAAUAUAGGCUGUAAGACUCUUUUUGGAAUUAAGCAAUAAGAAUAUUAUUAUCUCUAUUGCCCGGCUCCCAGAGGAGCCGGAACCCUAGCCGCCUCUAACCCUAGCCGCCGCCGCCAUCCUCCUCCCACGCGACGGUGCCCAGCCGCCGGCGCGCCCGCUCAUCGCCGCGCCCUCCUCAAUCCUUCCCCUACAACCUACGGAGCAGGUCCGGUAGGAUCCCUGGUUCUACCAAAGACGAUGUUGAAGGUGAUACGCCGGAGGUAGUUUGAUCUCUUAGUAUGUGCACAUGGUACUUACUGGGGGUGGUGUGAUCGCUUCACAGAGCCGAUGACAAUCGAUGAGUGUCAACAAAGGAGAUUUUGGUGCUUGCAACUAUUGGAGGAAGAUGAUGUCUAUGUGUCAAUCCCUGGAGGAAGAUGAUGCUGAAGGUGGGCUCUAACAUGUGCCACGUGCUGAACUUGAUUUGAUGCUAGCUCACACGUUUGGUUUUCUUGUGCUGCCACCAUUGCUAAUCUGAUUGCAAAAGCUCAUAAAACAGAACCUUGCCUUCUCGCGGUCUCACCUUGCCCCGAUCACUCAAGAUAGCAAACACCGCCAGCCUGGUACAACAUAUCUGUCUAAAGUUAGACUUUGUUCCCAUGGUGUUGUGGCAUCAAAAAUUCAGAUAAUCUAUAUCUUUCUUAACCCUGCAGUUGUGAUCAUUUAAUUGUAGUUACAUGUGUUUCUGUAGAGGCAUCCUUCCAUUGAUGUAUAAUUGGAAUAGUUAUUGUGUUCAUAGUUCUUUUGGCCGAUGGCAGCUAUGUAUAUAGAUUUUCUCAAAAGAAAUAUGCUAAGAGCUGUAUCUCAA